UACAGAGGUCCCAAGCGUUUGUUCGGAUUCACUGGGCGUAAAGGGUGCGUAGGUGGUGAGGUAAGUCUGAUGUGAAAUCCCGCAGCUCAACUGCGGAACUGCAUCGGAUACUAUCUUGCUAGAGGGUUUGAGGGGGGACUGGAAUUCUCGGUGUAGCAGUGAAAUGCGUAGAUAUCGAGAGGAACACCAGUGGCGAAGGCGAGUCCCUGGAAAACUCCUGACACUGAGGCACGAAAGCUAGGGGAGCAAACAGG
RNAcentral lists this ribosomal RNA (254 nucleotides) under uncultured bacterium. RNAcentral's name for it is "partial 16S ribosomal RNA". It matches the Rfam family "Bacterial small subunit ribosomal RNA", at positions 524 to 776 of the family's 1533-position model. The record is from RNAcentral.